UUCCGACUCUUCCUAAUUUCAACUUUUUUUCUCAGUCGGGACAAGGCUCCAAUAACUGUGUGGUAGGUGGAUCUUCACCUGGCCAAGCAAGUCCAGUGACACCCACUACGGUUCAUGUCGCUUCGACCUCCCCGCAACAAUGAUCACUUGAGGUUUGCAUUGUGGAUGGCGUUGACGGUGGUUAUAUAUGCUGCGGUGGAGCUCAUUGCAUGGUUCAUACUUGGUGUGAACUUGGAACUCAUGAUCCUUUAAUUUGUGAACCUCUGGUUGCAUAUGUAUGUAUGUUGUUGUGAACCUUCAUUGGAUAUGUAUGCACUGUGUGGACCUGAAACUUACGGUCCUUUCGUUUGUGAUCUUUUGUUGCAUAUGUGGACUUUGCACUCAUGUACGGCUGGAUAUAUGUAUUACUGGAUAUAUAUUUGUUGGUCAUGGUCAUGUACUGCUGGAUAUAUGUGUUGCUGGAUAGAUGUACUACUGUAUAUAUGUUGUUGCUGCUCCCUGAAGCGAGUACCAAAAAAAUGUUAUAAGGCUUAUAAGCCGUGUAGCCCAGCUAUCUGACACCCGGCUUAUAAGACAUAUAGCUGCGGCCAACCUAUAAGCCGUGUAGCCCAGCACCAAGCACCUGGCUUAUAGACCAUAUGGACACACGGGCAGGCUGUAUAAGCCGUGUGCCUCAGUUAACCAGCACCCGGCUUAUAUAUGUAUAUAACCGUGCUGUUGUCGGAGGAACUCGGCUUAUAUAGUAAC
This is a non-coding RNA of Triticum urartu, 747 nucleotides long. NCBI's taxonomy places the organism in Eukaryota, Viridiplantae, Streptophyta, Magnoliopsida, Poales, Poaceae. The record is from RefSeq and is a predicted model, not a curated record.